RNAcentral lists this long non-coding RNA (225 nucleotides) under Malus domestica (apple). RNAcentral describes it as "long non-coding RNA (MDOM_LNC018498)". Lineage: Eukaryota; Viridiplantae; Streptophyta; Magnoliopsida; Rosales; Rosaceae. The record is from RNAcentral.
CACCAUUCUCAAUGAGUUGAGGACACUUUUCGGAUGCAUGUCCUUGGAUAGAACAUACCCCACACACCAUGGGUCUUUGAAUCUUCAUUCCCUCGGCCAUCUGUGAAACAAGAGAAGUAAGAUUAGCUAACUGAGAUUGAAUAUUGGAAGUGGAACUUACCUCAUGCACUUGUUGCCGUGGGGUUCCUCUUUGGCCUACACCCUCGUAUUGUUGAGCGUUCAAUG